This 309-nucleotide signal recognition particle RNA is filed under the name Phascolarctos cinereus (koala). RNAcentral's name for it is "Metazoan signal recognition particle RNA (ENSPCIG00000007411.2)". It matches the Rfam family "Metazoan signal recognition particle RNA". Rfam says of the family: The signal recognition particle (SRP) is a universally conserved ribonucleoprotein. It is involved in the co-translational targeting of proteins to membranes. The eukaryotic SRP consists of a 300-nucleotide 7S RNA and six proteins: SRPs 72, 68, 54, 19, 14, and 9. Lineage: Eukaryota; Metazoa; Chordata; Mammalia; Diprotodontia; Phascolarctidae. The record is from RNAcentral.
CCUGAGUGUGGUGGUGCAUGCCUGUAAUCCCUGCUACUCCCGAGUAGGCUGAGGUUGGGGGAUUGCUUGAGUUUGGGAGUUCUGAGCUAUAUAAGGCCUAAAGUUGAUUGGUUGUCCACUUUAAGUCUGGCGCCAAUAUAGUGAGCUCCUAGAAGCAAGGGACCGCCAGACUGUCUAAAGAGGGGUGAACCUGCUCAGGUUAGAAAUGGAGCACCUCAAGCUUUUAUGAUGCUGGUCAAUGUGGGAUUGAACUCAUGAAUGACCAAGGCACAAGUAACAGCUUAGUCAAGAAAGGGAGACACCAUCUUA